CUGGACAAGUCCCCAUUACAGCAUGAUUAAGUCUCAAAAGGUAACUAAACUCCACCAUGAUUUGAAUAAAACUCCAACUAGUUACAGAUGCAAAUCCUCCUGCAAAAUACUUCAGCUUAAUAGUAUGCAACCAGCAACAAAAUUUCCAUAAUAGGCCCAAUCAACCAGCAAAUUACGGCCCCUUAAAGUUCCUGCACCAACAACCAGCAAUUAAUAUAUUCCUAAAAAUUUCUGAUU
RNAcentral lists this long non-coding RNA (237 nucleotides) under Lotus japonicus. RNAcentral describes it as "long non-coding RNA (LJAP_LNC001790)". The record is from RNAcentral. Lineage: Eukaryota; Viridiplantae; Streptophyta; Magnoliopsida; Fabales; Fabaceae.